UACAGAGGGUGCGAGCGUUAAUCGGGAUUUUACUGGGCGUAAAAGCGUGCGUAGGCGGCUUUUUUAAGUCGGAUGUGAAAUCCCCGAGCUUAACUUGGGAAUUGCAUUCGAUACUGGGAAGCUAGAGUAUGGGGAGAGGAUGGUAGAAUUCCAGGUGUAGCGGUGAAAUGCGUAGAGAUCUGGAGGAAUACCGAUGGCGAAGGCAGCCAUCUGGCCUAAUACUGACGCUGAGGUACGAAAAGCAUGGGGAGCAAAACAGG
This 260-nucleotide ribosomal RNA is filed under the name uncultured bacterium. RNAcentral describes it as "partial 16S ribosomal RNA". It matches the Rfam family "Bacterial small subunit ribosomal RNA", at positions 524 to 776 of the family's 1533-position model. The record is from RNAcentral.